GUCCUUCAUGUUGGAAUCUGAUGC
Molecule: non-coding RNA, 24 nt
Filed under: Arabidopsis thaliana (thale cress)
Lineage: Eukaryota; Viridiplantae; Streptophyta; Magnoliopsida; Brassicales; Brassicaceae
Source: RNAcentral